GACAUCAGGAGGUUAGUGCAAUGGCAUAAGCCAGCUUGACUGCGAGCGUGACGGCGCGAGCAGGUGCGAAAGCAGGUCAUAGUGAUCCGGUGGUUCUGAAUGGAAGGGCCAUCGCUCAACGGAUAAAAGGUACUCCGGGGAUAACAGGCUGAUACCGCCCAAGAGUUCAUAUCGACGGCGGUGUUUGGCACCUCGAUGUCGGCUCAUCACAUCCUGGGGCUGAAGUAGGUCCCAAGGGUAUGGCUGUUCGCCAUUUAAAGUGGUACGCGAGCUGGGUUUAGAACGUCGUGAGACAGUUCGGUCCCUAUCUGCCGUGGGCGCUGGAGAACUGAGGGGGGCUGCUCCUAGUACGAGAGGACCGGAGUGGACGCAUCACUGGUGUUCGGGUUGUCAUGCCAAUGGCACUGCCCGGUAGCUAAAUGCGGAAGAGAUAAGUGCUGAAAGCAUCUAAGCACGAAACUUGCCCCGAGAUGAGUUCUCCCUGAGACUUAAAGUCUCCUGAA
RNAcentral lists this ribosomal RNA (503 nucleotides) under Salmonella enterica. Its description in RNAcentral is "partial 23S ribosomal RNA". It matches the Rfam family "Bacterial large subunit ribosomal RNA", at positions 2334 to 2832 of the family's 2925-position model. The record is from RNAcentral. Lineage: Bacteria; Pseudomonadati; Pseudomonadota; Gammaproteobacteria; Enterobacterales; Enterobacteriaceae.